RNAcentral lists this unclassified non-coding RNA (405 nucleotides) under Hevea brasiliensis (rubber tree). The record is from RNAcentral. Lineage: Eukaryota; Viridiplantae; Streptophyta; Magnoliopsida; Malpighiales; Euphorbiaceae.
UUUUUUUUUUUUUUUUUUUACAUUGACACAAUUAUGAUGGUGAUUGUUGUAUAUGAUGUAACAAUACAUUGUAUCCAAUUUCUGGUUUAAUAUGUUGGGCCCUUUUGUUUUAUAAAAUAUAAAUUUGGGUUCCUUCUUUGAUGUUUUAGCAGAUGAUAAUACUAACAAUAAUAAUACAAAUAAAUAAAUAAAUAAACAAAGAUCAGAAAAGAGGAGUUAAAACCAAAUUAUCAAAUCAAAUGUUUUGGUUUCGUUCAGUUUCAUUUUUAUAUUUUUAACAAUUUGGUUUCUGUUUUUCCCAACAAGAUGGGGGGAGACAUUAGGUGCUAUGUUUCACAUCACCAAAAUAAUACCUUGGAGCUAAAGAUCGACAGGUAUAUACCUCAUAAACUCGCUGUUGAGAGA